UGAGUCCGCCGGGCGACCGCUGCGAGCGAUCGCAGAGGAAAGUCCGGACUCCGCAGGGCAAGGUGCUGGGUAAUCCCCAGGCGGCGCGAGCCGAUGGACAGUGCAGCAGAAAGCAAACCGCCAACGCCGCAAGGCACGGUAAGGGUGAAACGGUGGUGUAAGAGACCACCAGCGGGUCGGGUGACCGGCCCGGCUAGGUAAACCCCACCUGGAGCAAGACCACGCAGGGACGACGGCUGCCCGCCGGUUGAGUCCCGGGUAGGUCGCAUGAGGCCGUUCGGCAACGACGGUCCCAGAUAGAUGGUCGCCGCGACCUUCGGGUCGUACAGAAUCCGGCUUACAGGCGAACUCACCAC
Molecule: RNase P RNA, 356 nt
Filed under: Acidimicrobiia bacterium
Lineage: Bacteria; Bacillati; Actinomycetota; Acidimicrobiia
Description: RNase P RNA component class A
Rfam family: Bacterial RNase P class A
About the family: Ribonuclease P (RNase P) is a ubiquitous endoribonuclease, found in archaea, bacteria and eukarya as well as chloroplasts and mitochondria. Its best characterised activity is the generation of mature 5'-ends of tRNAs by cleaving the 5'-leader elements of precursor-tRNAs.
Source: RNAcentral